UCCGGUGAUUAUAGCUAAGGGGUCACACCUCUUCCCAUUUCGAACAGAGAAGUUAAGCCCUUACACGCCAAUGGUACUGCACUGGAGUCGGUGUGGAAGAGUAGGUAGUCGCCGGAU
Molecule: ribosomal RNA, 117 nt
Filed under: Chlorobiota bacterium
Lineage: Bacteria; Pseudomonadati; Chlorobiota
Source: RNAcentral